Molecule: ribosomal RNA, 343 nt
Filed under: uncultured Bacillota bacterium
Lineage: Bacteria; Bacillati; Bacillota
Description: uncultured Firmicutes bacterium partial 16S ribosomal RNA
Rfam family: Bacterial small subunit ribosomal RNA
Source: RNAcentral
GGCGAACGGGGUGAUUAACCCNUUGGAUAUCUACCCUGAGGUGGGGGAUAACCCGGGGAAACUCNGGCUAAUACCGCAUGAUACCGAGAGGUCAAAGGGGGCAGCAAUGCUCUCGCCGUGGGAUGAGUCUGCGUCCNAUUAGCUAGUUGGUGAGGUAAUGGCUCACCAAGGCGACNAUCGGUAGCCGGCCUGAGAGGGUGAUCGGCCACACUGGAACUGANACACGGUCCANACUCCUACGGGAGGCAGCAGUGGGGAAUUUUGCNCAAUGGGCGAAAGCCUGACCCACCACCCCCCGUGNAGGAUGAAGGUUUNCGGAUUGUAAACUCCUGUCAGUGGGGGA